This 335-nucleotide ribosomal RNA is filed under the name uncultured bacterium. RNAcentral describes it as "bacterial SSU rRNA". It matches the Rfam family "Bacterial small subunit ribosomal RNA", at positions 335 to 655 of the family's 1533-position model. The record is from RNAcentral.
ACUCCUACGGGAGGCAGCAGUGGGGAAUAUUGCACAAUGGGCGCAAGCCUGAUGCAGCCAUGCCGCGUGUAUGAAGAAGGCCUUCGGGUUGUAAAGUACUUUCAGUCAGUGAGGAAGGUGGUAUGUUAAUAGACAUACNCAUUUGACGUUAGCUGCAGAAGAAGACAACCGCGUAACUCCGUGCCAGCAGCCGCGGUAAUACGGAGGGUGCGAGCGUUAAUCGGAAUUACUGGGCGUAAAGCGCAUGCAGGUGGUUUGUUAAAGUCAGAUGUGAAAAGCCCGGGCUCAAGCCUCGGAAUUGCAUUUGAAAACUGGCAAACUAAGAGUACUGUAGA